CUGGCUCAGGAUGAACGCUAGCUACAGGCUUAACACAUGCAAGUCGAGGGGCAGCAUGGAGUUGCUUGCAAACUCUGAUGGCGACCGGCGCACGGGUGAGUAACGCGUAUCCAACCUUCCCUAUAGUAGAGGAUAGCCCGGCGAAAGUCGGAUUAAUACUCUAUGUUUUCCGUUGCAGACAUCUAAGAUGGAACAAAGGCUUGCCGCUAUAGGAUGGGGAUGCGUCUGAUUAGGUAGUCGGCGGGGUAACGGCCCACCGAGCCAUCGAUCAGUAGGGGUCCUGAGAGGAAGGUCCCCCACAUUGGAACUGAGACACGGUCCAAACUCCUACGGGAGGCAGCAGUGAGGAAUAUUGGUCAAUGGGCGAGAGCCUGAACCAGCCAAGUAGCGUGCAGGAUGACGGCCCUAUGGGUUGUAAACUGCUUUUAUGCGGGGAUAAAGUUCACUACGUGUAGUGUUUUGUAGGUACCGCAUGAAUAAGGACCGGCUAAUUCCGUGCCAGCCGCCGC
Molecule: ribosomal RNA, 509 nt
Filed under: uncultured bacterium
Lineage: Bacteria
Description: bacterial SSU rRNA
Rfam family: Bacterial small subunit ribosomal RNA
Source: RNAcentral